This 244-nucleotide ribosomal RNA is filed under the name uncultured bacterium. RNAcentral's name for it is "partial 16S ribosomal RNA". It matches the Rfam family "Bacterial small subunit ribosomal RNA", at positions 15 to 252 of the family's 1533-position model. The record is from RNAcentral.
GAUCCUGGCUCAGGACGAACGCUGGCGGCGCGCCUAACACAUGCAAGUCGAGCGGAGUCAAGAGGAGCUUGCUUUUCUUGACUUAGUGGCGAACGGGUGAGUAACGCGUGAGUAACCUGCCCUGGAGUGGGGGACAACAGUUGGAAACGACUGCUAAUACCGCAUAAGCCCACGAUCCGGCAUCGGAUUGAGGGAAAAGGAUUUAUUCGCUUCAGGAUGGACUCGCGUCCAAUUAGCUAGUUGG